This 505-nucleotide small RNA is filed under the name Histoplasma ohiense. RNAcentral describes it as "hypothetical lncRNA". The record is from RNAcentral. Lineage: Eukaryota; Fungi; Ascomycota; Eurotiomycetes; Onygenales; Ajellomycetaceae.
UACCCCGCUGAAACCACGAGGAGAACAAGCCGAUACGCCUCCCAUCUGCGUAUCGGGAUCUUCCCCUUCCGUCUCCAUCUCACUAUCUGUGUCACUGCUAUCGUCAUCGCUUGCACUAACCCCUUGCUGGCAUGCGGUGGAUAUUUCAUUGCCCACAUUCUCGACUUCGCGGACGAUGUCGCGCACCCGUUGCUCUAGCGCGAGCGCUUCCGCGCGUAGACGAAGGAUUUUGGCGUAGUUCGAUUGGUGCGUGUGUAGCGUUUUAAGGGCGCUCGAGACGGCGUCAUCUGCUUCUAGGAGUGAGAGGGCGGCUGCUGGGGCUCCUGCAGCUGUUGGGGAAGAGACGAUGGACAUUAGGAGAUUGUUCAGUCUGGUUUCUAAGGUGCUGAGCGGGGUGAGGAGUUGAGAGUCCAUGGUGAACAGCUGGUAGGGGUAUUGCGCUCGCUAUUGGUUGUAGCAACGCAAGCAGUGGUAUGGUAAAUAUUAGUAGUAUUGAAGCUAUCGC